GAGAUGGCUCAGUGGUUAAGAGCACUGACUGCUCUUCCAGAGGUCCUGAGUUCAAUUCCCAGCAACCACA
This 70-nucleotide transfer RNA is filed under the name Mus musculus (house mouse). Its description in RNAcentral is "tRNA-Ser". The record is from RNAcentral. Lineage: Eukaryota; Metazoa; Chordata; Mammalia; Rodentia; Muridae.